This 1105-nucleotide long non-coding RNA is filed under the name Equus asinus (donkey). RNAcentral describes it as "lncRNA (ENSEASG00005024180.1)". The record is from RNAcentral. Lineage: Eukaryota; Metazoa; Chordata; Mammalia; Perissodactyla; Equidae.
CUGGAACCUGAGACUCAUUCUAUCCAACCCUCCCUCCUUCCCUCCCUCUCUCCAUCACGUGGGUUAGAUCAGCAUCAUGGUCCUAAGGCUCUCUCUACCUCCUCCAGCUUCCCUCCUCUUUUUCCUUCACAGGAAUUCCCCCCAGUUUAUCUCUUGCAUAUUUCAUUUCAUCUCGAUGCCUUCUUCUCAGAAGACUUGAGCUAAGACAGCAUGUUGUUCCAUCUCUACCAGUAUGAUAGGGAUUCCGAAAUUCUGUAGAAACUAAGUGUGAUCUGAAGCUUAAAGUUCAGUUAUUAAUCGUUUCUCAGAGUUCCAGGAUAACGUUACUAGUUUUCAAGCAUGAAAUGCUUCACAAGAGAGCUGUUGACUUCCAGCCUGACCAAAUCCUUUCACGUUGUGGCGUGCAUGAUGCACGAUCGUUUUGGAAUGUCUCUGAGAUGACUUCUGCAGGGGCAUGAUACUUUUUUACAGGAGCAAAUGGUACCAUGAGGAGUACGAGAAUUUCUGUCAGGAAGGGUAGAAGUCAUUUCCACGUGGGAGCUUUCUGGGAUUGAAGAAGGAAGGUGUUUACUCAGAAGCUGUCUGGUUUCAGGAGGAAAUCCAAGUGGUGUUUUCUAAUAUGGGGGAGGGUUUGCCUUUCCUUGCUUAUUUAAGGAAAAAAGAAGGGAAAGAAACUUGUUUAAACAGGUUCUUACAGAAUUGUUUUCGCCAAGUGAAUGUUCUACGUGGUAUACUCGGUUUGUUAUAGGAGAUUUAACAGGGACAAAGACUUUCGCUAGUUCUUGAGGAAGCUCUGUAAGUAAUGCACAUGAAGGGUAAUCAUUGUGCUUAAAGAAACUGGCAUGAAUGGGGUUCAGAUUGAGUAGUGAGAAAUGCACCAGAGUUGGGUUUGCGCCUUGAUUCUGCUCUUUACAAGUUGUAUGAUUUGGGGAAAUUCUCUAAAACUGUUUUCUUACUUCUAAAAGUGGAGAUAAUUACACCUGUCUCAACUAUAUCACAGACUUAUUAUAAGAAUCAAGGGGGAAAUGAAUUUUGAAUCAUUUGUGAAGAAUAUAAUGAUAUAAAAUAAGAAGUACUAUAAAGCUGAAAUUUGCAUGAUUUUAAC